This 25-nucleotide non-coding RNA is filed under the name Mus musculus (house mouse). Lineage: Eukaryota; Metazoa; Chordata; Mammalia; Rodentia; Muridae. The record is from RNAcentral.
UGCCCGUGUCUUUUUGUCUCCCUGG